Molecule: ribosomal RNA, 492 nt
Filed under: uncultured bacterium
Lineage: Bacteria
Description: partial 16S ribosomal RNA
Rfam family: Bacterial small subunit ribosomal RNA
Source: RNAcentral
AGUGAACGCUGGCGGCAGGCCUAACACAUGCAAGUCGAACGGCAGCACAGUAAGAGCUUGCUCUUACGGGUGGCGAGUGGCGGACGGGUGAGGAAUACAUCGGAAUCUACUUUUUCGUGGGGGAUAACGUAGGGAAACUUACGCUAAUACCGCAUACGACCUACGGGUGAAAGCAGGGGAUCUUCGGACCUUGCGCGAUUGAAUGAGCCGAUGUCGGAUUAGCUAGUUGGCGGGGUAAAGGCCCACCAAGGCGACGAUCCGUAGCUGGUCUGAGAGGAUGAUCAGCCACACUGGAACUGAGACACGGUCCAGACUCCUACGGGAGGCAGCAGUGGGGAAUAUUGGACAAUGGGCGCAAGCCUGAUCCAGCCAUACCGCGUGGGUGAAGAAGGCCUUCGGGUUGUAAAGCCCUUUUGUUGGGAAAGAAAAGCAGCAGGUUAAUACCCCGCUGUUCUGACGGUAGCCAAAGAAUAAGCACCGGCUAACUUCGUG